UUUUCAUGUACAUAUUUUGAGUGACUAAAACUGGCUGGUUUUUGAUCACGGUUUGCAUUGGAGAUUUAGCGGAAAACUUUGAAUAUUUACGUGUUGAGGCGUGAAUUAUUUAGAAAGCGGUUCGCUGGUUAAAUUAUGAGUUGAGUUUUUUGAAAAGUUCUUUGAACUGAAUAAAAGUUGUCAGUUGGCGAAUAACGAGAUUCGGUUAACUGUUCAGCUGUUCAGUUGUUAAGGUUAAAGUUAUUUAUAACUUGCGGGUUAAAGCAAGUAAAAGUUCGGAGUCAUUAUUUGUUGGCAUUCACGUGAGUGACUCAAAUCUAUGACUUGAACUUAAGGACGGUAAAUUUAAGUAUUAAAGUGUUAACAAGCGAAAUCCAUAUGCAAGCCCUGAUCAGAACGGCAGAGUGAGUCGUUAAAGAAAGUUAGAUACUGAAAGAAUUUAUUUUCUUGGUCUAAGAAAUCUUGUUAUAGACUGCAGAAAUAGACCAUUGACUCGCAAAACUGUAACUUAUUAAAUGUGCAGCUGAUUCAUAUGCGUGUUGUCUAAUAAAAGUUGUAUCUUACUGAAUUAUUUUAUUGCAGAGAAACGCCUUGUCCCUUGCCUGAAUUGAUCCUUCGAUUAAAACUCGUCC
RNAcentral lists this long non-coding RNA (632 nucleotides) under Mytilus galloprovincialis (Mediterranean mussel). Lineage: Eukaryota; Metazoa; Mollusca; Bivalvia; Mytilida; Mytilidae. The record is from RNAcentral.